This is a long non-coding RNA of Oncorhynchus keta (chum salmon), 191 nucleotides long. RefSeq lists it as uncharacterized. The record is from RefSeq and is a predicted model, not a curated record. The transcript is spliced from 3 exons. NCBI's taxonomy places the organism in Eukaryota, Metazoa, Chordata, Actinopteri, Salmoniformes, Salmonidae.
GUCCUCAUCUCUGCCCUCUCAUACAUACUACCUGAGGUAACCUAGUCCUCAUCUCUGCCCUCUCGUACAUACUACCUGAGGUGACCUAGUCCUCAUCUCUGCCCUCUCGUACAUACUACCUGAGGUGACCUAGUCCUCAUCUCUGCCCUCUCGUACAUACUACCUGAGGUGACCUAGUCCUCAUCUCUGCC